RNAcentral lists this ribosomal RNA (675 nucleotides) under uncultured Lachnospiraceae bacterium. Its description in RNAcentral is "bacterial SSU rRNA". It matches the Rfam family "Bacterial small subunit ribosomal RNA", at positions 50 to 737 of the family's 1533-position model. The record is from RNAcentral. Lineage: Bacteria; Bacillati; Bacillota; Clostridia; Lachnospirales; Lachnospiraceae.
AACACAUGCAAGUCGAACGGAAUUACAUGAAGCCUAGCGAUUGUAAAUUUAGUGGCGGACGGGUGAGUAACGCGUGGGUAACCUGCCUUGUACUGGGGGACAACAGUUGGAAACGACUGCUAAUACCGCAUAAGCGCACAGCUUCGCAUGAAGCAGUGUGAAAAACUCCGGUGGUACAAGAUGGACCCGCGUCUGAUUAGCUGGUUGGUGAGGUAACGGCCCACCAAGGCGACGAUCAGUAGCCGGCCUGAGAGGGUGAACGGCCACAUUGGGACUGAGACACGGCCCAAACUCCUACGGGAGGCAGCAGUGGGGAAUAUUGCACAAUGGGGGAAACCCUGAUGCAGCAACGCCGCGUGAGUGAAGAAGUAUUUCGGUAUGUAAAGCUCUAUCAGCAGGAAAGAAAAUGACGGUACCUGACUAAGAAGCCCCGGCUAACUACGUGCCAGCAGCCGCGGUAAUACGUAGGGGGCAAGCGUUAUCCGGAUUUACUGGGUGUAAAGGGAGCGUAGACGGUUUUGCAAGUCUGAAGUGAAAGCCCGGGGCUUAACCCCGGGACUGCUUUGGAAACUGUAGGACUAGAGUGCAGGAGAGGUAAGUGGAAUUCCUAGUGUAGCGGUGAAAUGCGUAGAUAUUAGGAGGAACACCAGUGGCGAAGGCGGCUUACUGGACUGU